Molecule: long non-coding RNA, 299 nt
Filed under: Elaeis guineensis (African oil palm)
Lineage: Eukaryota; Viridiplantae; Streptophyta; Magnoliopsida; Arecales; Arecaceae
Description: long non-coding RNA (EGUI_LNC027990)
Source: RNAcentral
GUCUCCUUAAUGGGAUAGGUGCCCUCUAAGAAUAUAGAAACUUAGAUGUCCUAUGAUUUCUCUACAAAUAGAUAUACAAAGGAAUUGAGUGAGGCACCUAGCCUAGUUAAUAAUGCUAUUAGGUGAAUCCAUUAUAGAGUUUGUUAAUCAAAUCAGGCAUACAUCCAUGCUCACUACAUCACAUAAUUAAGGCAUUACAGCUUAAAAUAACCAUAUGAUUACAAAUUAAUCAUGGAUUUUUUAAAUAUUCAUUCAGAUAACAAUUUAGCCUGUAUCAUAUAAUAAAUCAAAAUAAAAUC